GUGCCUAUAGUGUAAUGGUUAGCACUGAGACCUGUGGAGUCUUCAGUUCGAGUUCGAAUCUCGAUAGGCACCCA
RNAcentral lists this transfer RNA (74 nucleotides) under Candidatus Yonathbacteria bacterium CG_4_8_14_3_um_filter_46_25. RNAcentral describes it as "tRNA-His". It matches the Rfam family "tRNA". Rfam says of the family: Transfer RNA (tRNA) molecules are approximately 80 nucleotides in length. Their secondary structure includes four short double-helical elements and three loops (D, anti-codon, and T loops). Lineage: Bacteria; Candidatus Yonathiibacteriota. The record is from RNAcentral.